AGUGAACGCUGGCGGUAGGCCUAACACAUGCAAGUCGAACGGCAGCACAGUAAGAGCUUGCUCUUACGGGUGGCGAGUGGCGGACGGGUGAGGAAUACAUCGGAAUCUACUUUUUCGUGGGGGAUAACGUAGGGAAACUUACGCUAAUACCGCAUACGACCUACGGGUGAAAGCAGGGGAUCUUCGGACCUUGCGCGAUUGAAUGAGCCGAUGUCGGAUUAGCUAGUUGGCGGGGUAAAGGCCCACCAAGGCGACGAUCCGUAGCUGGUCUGAGAGGAUGAUCAGCCACACUGGAACUGAGACACGGUCCAGACUCCUACGGGAGGCAGCAGUGGGGAAUAUUGGACAAUGGGCGAAAGCCUGAUCCAGCCAUACCGCGUGAGUGAAGAAGGCCUUCGGGUUGUAAAGCCCUUUUGUUGGGAAAGAAAAACAGCAUGUUAAUACCCCGCUGUUCUGACGGUACCCAAAGAAUAAGCACCGGCUAACUUCGUG
Molecule: ribosomal RNA, 492 nt
Filed under: uncultured bacterium
Lineage: Bacteria
Description: partial 16S ribosomal RNA
Rfam family: Bacterial small subunit ribosomal RNA
Source: RNAcentral